GACAUAAGUAACGAUAAAGCGGGUGAAAAGCCCGCUCGCCGGAAGACCAAGGGUUCCUGUCCAACGUUAAUCGGGGCAGGGUGAGUCGACCCCUAAGGCGAGGCCGAAAGGCGUAGUCGAUGGGAAACGGGUUAAUAUUCCCGUACUUGGUGUUACUGCGAAGGGGGGACGGAGAAGGCUAUGUUGGCCGGGCGACGGUUGUCCCGGUUUAAGCGUGUAGGUGUGUGUUCCAGGUAAAUCCGGUUCACUUUAACACUGAGGCGUGACGACGAGGCACUACGGUGCUGAAGCAACAAAUGCCCUGCUUCCAGGAAAAGCCUCUAAGCAUCAGGUAACAUCAAAUCGUACCCCAAACCGACACAGGUGGUCAGGUAGAGAAUACCAAGGCGCUUGAGAGAACUCGGGUGAAGGAACUAGGCAAAAUGGUGCCGUAACUUCGGGAGAAGGCACGCUGACACGUAGGUGAAGUGAUUUACUCAUGGAGCUGAAGUCAGUCGAAGAUACCAGCUGGCUGCAACUGUUUAUUAAAAACACAGCACUGUGCAAACACGAAAGUGGACGUAUACGGUGUGACGCCUGCCCGGUGCCGGAAGGUUAAUUGAUGGGGUCAGCGCAAGCGAAGCUCCUGAUCGAAGCCCCGGUAAACGGCGGCCGUAACUAUAACGGUCCUAAGGUAGCGAAAUUCCUUGUCGGGUAAGUUCCGACCUGCACGAAUGGCGUAAUGAUGGCCAGGCUGUCUCCACCCGAGACUCAGUGAAAUUGAACUCGCUGUGAAGAUGCAGUGUACCCGCGGCAAGACGGAAAGACCCCGUGAACCUUUACUAUAGCUUGACACUGAACAUUGAGCCUUGAUGUGUAGGAUAGGUGGGAGGCUUUGAAGUGUGGACGCCAGUCUGCAUGGAGCCGACCUUGAAAUACCACCCUUUAAUGUUUGAUGUUCUAACGUGGACCCGUAAUCCGGGUUGCGGACAGUGUCUGGUGGGUAGUUUGACUGGGGCGGUCUCCUCCUAAAGAGUAACGGAGGAGCACGAAGGUUGGCUAAUCCUGGUCGGACAUCAGGAGGUUAGUGCAAUGGCAUAAGCCAGCUUGACUGCGAGCGUGACGGCGCGAGCAGGUGCGAAAGCAGGUCAUAGUGAUCCGGUGGUUCUGAAUGGAAGGGCCAUCGCUCAACGGAUAAAAGGUACUCCGGGGAUAACAGGCUGAUACCGCCCAAGAGUUCAUAUCGACGGCGGUGUUUGGCACCUCGAUGUCGGCUCAUCACAUCCUGGGGCUGAAGUAGGUCCCAAGGGUAUGGCUGUUCGCCAUUUAAAGUGGUACGCGAGCUGGGUUUAGAACGUCGUGAGACAGUUCGGUCCCUAUCUGCCGUGGGCGCUGGAGAACUGAGGGGGGCUGCUCCUAGUACGAGAGGACCGGAGUGGACGCAUCACUGGUGUUCGGGUUGUCAUGCCAAUGGCACUGCCCGGUAGCUAAAUGCGGAAGAGAUAAGUGCUGAAAGCAUCUAAGCACGAAACUUGCCCCGAGAUGAGUUCUCCCUGAGACUUAGAGUCUCCUGAAGGAACGUUGAAGACGACGACGUUGAUAGGCCGGGUGUGUAAGCGCAGCGAUGCGUUGAGCUAACCGGUACUAAUGAACCGUGAGGCUUAACCUUACAACGCCGAAG
This 1660-nucleotide ribosomal RNA is filed under the name Salmonella enterica subsp. enterica serovar Typhimurium. RNAcentral's name for it is "bacterial LSU rRNA". It matches the Rfam family "Bacterial large subunit ribosomal RNA", at positions 1299 to 2925 of the family's 2925-position model. The record is from RNAcentral. Lineage: Bacteria; Pseudomonadati; Pseudomonadota; Gammaproteobacteria; Enterobacterales; Enterobacteriaceae.